RNAcentral lists this unclassified non-coding RNA (2301 nucleotides) under Hevea brasiliensis (rubber tree). The record is from RNAcentral. Lineage: Eukaryota; Viridiplantae; Streptophyta; Magnoliopsida; Malpighiales; Euphorbiaceae.
GAGAAUUUGAAAGAUACUGAGAACAAGAUGUUCGGGGUUGUUUACAGUAGGAAAAGAAAGAGAAUGGGUGUAGAAAGCCAGGAUAACUCUGGGAAAAUGUAUGGGAUUCAGUUUUCGAGAAGGCAGCGUAAGAAGCAAGGGGAUGGUGACAGUUUUGUGGGUUUUGAGCGGGCGCUUCUUGUUGUUGUUCUUGAGGGCUAUUGCAGUAGUGGGUUAACUCCUUUUCUGAAUUUGGUUUUGGGGUAUGUUAGGAGGGCUAGUUUGAGGAUUUCCGAACUUACUACUUUCUUGUCGUCCGAGCCUGUUAACAGUGCCUUUGCUUCAAAUGGAAUUCGUUUUCUGCAGGAUACACCUGCUAAGAGAACUGGAAUUUGCAAGAUUUUCGGGGUUCUGAGUAAUGUGCCAAUAUUUUCUUUGGAUUUUUCUGCAAUUCCUUUCUGUUUUGUGUAUAUGCACCUCUGUUUGCUACUUAGAGUUAAGUGUCUGUCUCUCGCACCUGUGAAUACCUCUUUGGACGAGGACUCAUGUGAUGAGAUGAUGAGCGAAGAUGAUCAUUUAUGUGGUCUUUUGAAGACUGACACAGCACCAGAAACUGAUAAUUCUGGAAAUAAGAUGGUGUUACAUCCAUCUGUGAGAGCGUCCAAAUUAGCUGGCCGGAACAACCAAUACCGAAGUGGCUUAAAUUCUCGUGGCAUUCAAAAGAGGAGGAGUUCACUUAGGAGGAGGAAAGCUAGAAAUCCUUCCCUGGUUGGUGUGCACAAAGCUAAUGGUGCUUCAGUUUCAGAUCUAUUAAGUAGUAGGAAAAUUGGUAUCCCUUUUUCUUCAGCAGUGUCUAAGAACAAGCUUAGGAGUUCAUUGCGGAGUAGCGCCACAAGAAACCUCCAUGAAGUAAGUCCUAGCAUGGUUGAAGUAACUCAGACCAUGGACUCAUUAAACUGCUCUGCUAAUGUACUGGUUGUUGAAUCAGAUAGAUGUUACAGGAUAGAAGGGGCCACCGUUACUUUAGAAAUCUCUGAUUCAAAAGAGUGGUUGCUUGUAGUGAAGAAAGAUGGGUUGACGAGUUACAUUCACUUGGCACAAAAGAAUAUGCGACCUUGUUCUUCGAAUCGUAUCACUCAUGACAUAAUAUGGACAGGGGAGGAAAGUUGGAAGCUAGAGUUUUCUAAUCGAAAUGACUGGCUCAUUUUCAAGGAUCUUUAUAAGGCAUGUACUGAUCGCAACAUAUCAGGUCCUGUCCUCUAAAGCCAUUCCUGUGCCUGGAGUAUGUGAAGUUUUUGGAUAUGAAGAGGACAAUAGUAUGCCCUUUUCUAGACCGGAAGCAUACAUUUCUUUAAAUAAUGAUGAGGUAGCUAGAGCUCUGGCUAGGAAGACUGCAAUUUAUGACAUGGAUUCUGAAGAUGAGGGAUGGCUGAAAAAGUUCAAUGAUGAUAUAUUUGUUGAAACUGAGCAACAAGAGCAUCUUUCAGAGGAUAAUUUUGAGUUAAUAAUUGAUGCCUUGGAGAAGGGUUUUUAUUGCAAUCCAGAUGAUUUUGCAGAUGAGAAAGCAGCUGUAAAUCUGUGUAUAGAUUUGGGUAGGAGGGAAGUAGUUGAAGCUGUGUAUGGUUAUUGGAUGAAAAAACGGAAGCAGAGACGAUCAGCACUUCUUAGGAUUUUUCAGGGACAGCAAUCAAAAAAAGCUCCACUGAUUCCAAAACCUGUUCUACGUAAGAGAAGGUCAUUCAAGCGGCAAGCCAGCCAAUUUGGAAGAGGCAAGCAACCUAGUCUGUUGCAAGUAAUGGCUGCUGAACAUGAUGCUUUGGAAGAACAGAAUGCUAUGCGUAAAGUAGAGGCAGCUAAAACUUCAGCGAAGAGAUCUGUGGAAUCAGCUAUUCUUAAACGCCGACGGGCUCAGAUUCUUAUGGAGAAUGCUGAUUUAGCAAUUUACAAAGCUACAAUGGCACUCAGAAUUGCUGAAGGUGCCCAACUGGUCAAUUCAACGGAUGUUGCUGUCCAACACUUAUUUGAUUGUCAGGCAUAGGUGUAUUUAACGCUUUUUAAGAUGGCCAGUUACAUUUAUUGAAAGCAGGACAACAUCGUAGACAACCUUGGUCAAUUCAACAGCUGUUUUGAAGCCCUGGAGAUAACCUUUUGCAGAAAGUAUUGUAAUUUUGUAUAGAUUUUUUUAUUGAAUGUACAUUCUGUAUUAUUAUAACCUCACACCAAAUGAUUUUAACAAGGGGAUUUGGUUGAUUUCCUUGUGUAAAAAAUGGGGAGAGAAAAAAAAAAUCAUAAGUUUACAAUACUUUCUGCAAAAGGUUAUCU